GGUCAUAAGUCUUACAGCUCCACAAAACGCAUUUCAAAUGUGUAAGCUGCACCUUGUACUUGCAGGGUUAUUUUCACAUCUGUACAUUUGUUUUGUAACUGUGUGGGUUUUUUUUGCACAUGUGUGUGGGGGAAAACGUAUGUGUAAAAUAUUAAAAUGUAUGUGUAGAAAUGUUUUGAAGUUGUGGCAAGAGAAGUGCGUACGGCUUGUGCCAUGCUUUACCAACUUCUUCCUGUUCGGAGCUGCGAGCACACGGCUGUGAAACUUUUUUCACAGAUGUACGAAUUUUGAGCCGGUUUUCACGUGGGGGUGGGGUCAUAUGGCGAGAGCCAAUCAAAACAUCUCUUACUGCCAACCAAUCAGUGUUUCGCGAGGACUUCGAUGGAAACUGUCGGAUUUUUCAUUCAUUCGUGCCAAUGAAACAGGAGGCCUCGAUUCAUGCAGAAGAUAUGGUACGUAACUGGGAUAUAAAAAUAUAUAUGUAAGAAAACUAUUUAACCUCAUAGACUAACCUUGUAUACGGUACAUUCUAACUGUAAGAAAGACUCUGACAUUGAUGCCUAGUCCCGCCCCCUUCACGUGCAGUUCAGUUAAGUUCUACUUGGAGCAGGGAGCACAUACUCAGCUCUGCUGCUCCAGUUGAGUUAUUACCUCAGGAUGAUUGCAUGUGAGAAGUUUGUGUGCGUGCCUUUCCACCAAGUUUGAAACCCAGACAGCACGAAGCAUCUUGCCGACGUCAAAAUCAGAUCAACAGACAGGGACAUCAGCCUUCUCUUGGGAAUAGGCCAGAUAUGCCAUAACAAGAAAUGGUGUUUUGCCCCUGCGGUUGUGAAGAGGAUGCUGUGGAGGUGGCAGCAUGAACGUGUCACACAGACAUUGGCUAAACUACUCGGCUUCUACACUUGCCCUCAGAGUUCACAUAUGGUGAAGUGCACAGGUGUCCAGUCAGGUUCAGACUGAUGCUGGUAACAAGAGGAAAACAUGCUAAUUGAUGACCUUUCCAGCAUGUCCAACUCAUCAGCAUCAGGGGAGGAGAGUCGGUGAAGGUGGUGCACCAUCCAGGACCAGUCAUGGGCCACCAACACCUCUGCAAAAUCUGCACUUCUUGUGAACCCUCUAGAAGACACUACAACCACAAAACUGCUAAUAAACCAUCACAUACUACAUCA
Molecule: long non-coding RNA, 1169 nt
Organism: Engraulis encrasicolus (European anchovy)
Lineage: Eukaryota; Metazoa; Chordata; Actinopteri; Clupeiformes; Engraulidae
Exons: 5
Source: RefSeq, a predicted model, not a curated record